GCCGGAGUGGCGGAAUAGGUAGACGCACAGGUCUCAAAAACCUGCGAGCUUGCUCAUGUCGGUUCGACCCCGACCUCCGGUACCA
Molecule: transfer RNA, 85 nt
Filed under: Deltaproteobacteria bacterium
Lineage: Bacteria; Pseudomonadati; Myxococcota; Myxococcia
Description: tRNA-Leu
Rfam family: tRNA
About the family: Transfer RNA (tRNA) molecules are approximately 80 nucleotides in length. Their secondary structure includes four short double-helical elements and three loops (D, anti-codon, and T loops).
Source: RNAcentral